GACGAACGCUGGCGGCGUGCCUAAUACAUGCAAGUAGAACGCUGAAGGAGGAGCUUGCUUCUCUGGAUGAGUUGCGAACGGGUGAGUAACGCGUAGGUAACCUGCCUGGUAGCGGGGGAUAACUAUUGGAAACGAUAGCUAAUACCGCAUAAGAGUAGAUGUUGCAUGACAUUUGCUUAAAAGGUGCAAUUGCAUCACUACCAGAUGGACCUGCGUUGUAUUAGCUAGUUGGUGAGGUAACGGCUCACCAAGGCAACGAUACAUAGCCGACCUGAGAGGGGGAUCGGCCACACUGGGACUGAGACACGGCCCAGACUCCUACGGGAGGCAGCAGUAGGGAAUCUUCGGCAAUGGACGGAAGUCUGACCGAGCAACGCCGCGUGAGUGAAGAAGGUUUUCGGAUCGUAAAGCUCUGUUGUAAGGGAAGAACGAGGGUGAGAGUGGAAAGUUCACACUGUGACGGUAUCUUACCAGAAAGGGACGGCUAACUACGUG
RNAcentral lists this ribosomal RNA (495 nucleotides) under uncultured bacterium. RNAcentral's name for it is "partial 16S ribosomal RNA". It matches the Rfam family "Bacterial small subunit ribosomal RNA", at positions 28 to 507 of the family's 1533-position model. The record is from RNAcentral.